RNAcentral lists this ribosomal RNA (440 nucleotides) under uncultured bacterium. RNAcentral's name for it is "partial 16S ribosomal RNA". It matches the Rfam family "Bacterial small subunit ribosomal RNA", at positions 338 to 795 of the family's 1533-position model. The record is from RNAcentral.
CCUACGGGAGGCAGCAGUGGGGAAUAUUGCACAAUGGGGGAAACCCUGAUGCAGCGACGCCGCGUGAGUGAAGAAGUAAUUCGUUAUGUAAAGCUCUAUCAGCAGGGAAGAAAAUGACGGUACCUGAGUAAGAAGCCCCGGCUAACUACGUGCCAGCAGCCGCGGUAAUACGUAGGGGGCAAGCGUUAUCCGGAUUUACUGGGUGUAAAGGGAGCGUAGACGGCAGUGCAAGUCUGGAGUGAAAGGCGGGGGCUCAACCCCCGGACUGCUCUGGAAACUGUACGGCUUGAGUGCAGGAGAGGUAAGUGGAAUUCCUAGUGUAGCGGUGAAAUGCGUAGAUAUUAGGAGGAACCCCAGUGGCGAAGGCGGCUUACUGGACUGUAACUGACGUUGAGGCUCGAAAGCGUGGGGAGCAAACAGGAUUAGAUACCCCAGUAGUC